AACGAACGCUGGCGGCAGGCCUAACACAUGCAAGUCGAACGCCGUAGCAAUACGGAGUGGCAGACGGGUGAGUAACGCGUGGGAACAUACCCCUCGGUUCGGAAUAACUCAGGGAAACUUGAGCUAAUACCGGAUACGUCCGAGGUUUUAAUCGACCUUGGAGAAAGAUUUAUCGCCGGAGGAUUGGCCCGCGUCUGAUUAGCUUGUUGGUGAGGUAAUGGCUCACCAAGGCGACGAUCAGUAGCUGGUCUGAGAGGAUGAUCAGCCACAUUGGGACUGAGACACGGCCCAAACUCCUACGGGAGGCAGCAGUGGGGAAUAUUGGACAAUGGGCGAAAGCCUGAUCCAGCCAUGCCGCGUGAGUGAUGAAGGCCUUAGGGUUGUAAAGCUCUUUUACCCGGGAAGAUAAUGACGGUACCGGGAGAAUAAGCCCCGGCUAACUUCGUGCCAGCAGCCGCCG
RNAcentral lists this ribosomal RNA (460 nucleotides) under uncultured bacterium. RNAcentral's name for it is "bacterial SSU rRNA". It matches the Rfam family "Bacterial small subunit ribosomal RNA", at positions 29 to 520 of the family's 1533-position model. The record is from RNAcentral.